AUUUCAAUAAUAUAUUUAUAAAGACAUGGUAAGUUACGUGUGUAUACAUGUAUCAGUACCUUACUGUGUUGUGGCCAUUAAAGUUGUCAGGGAGCAGAAAUAACUGAUGAAAAUUUCAAAUAUUAAAUGGGACAGCAAAACUAGCUAUUAAUAAUUCCUUACAAGAAAUCAGUCGAGAGCAACAUAAUGAGGCCCAGCAUUUUGAAACCUCUUUGCAAACUGAGACUGACACGUCAGAUUUUUUGAUACCAACAUACACAAAUAAGUAUGUGGGAGAUGACAGCAUUUUUGAAGUGGGAAGAGGAUUUCAUAAGAAAUAACUACCCAAAAUUCGACAGAAAAAUGAGUGACAAGGAUUGCCUGUUUGGGCGAGCAUUUAUCAGAAAAACUGUGAAAGAAAUGGAAUUAACAAAAAGGCAAUUACACAAUGAAGAGUGCAUCAGUGAAUUUGUC
Amphimedon queenslandica is the source of this 453-nucleotide long non-coding RNA. RefSeq lists it as uncharacterized. The transcript has 5 exons. NCBI's taxonomy places the organism in Eukaryota, Metazoa, Porifera, Demospongiae, Haplosclerida, Niphatidae. The record is from RefSeq and is a predicted model, not a curated record.